RNAcentral lists this transfer RNA (41 nucleotides) under Makinoa sp. He-Nygren 1295. Its description in RNAcentral is "partial tRNA-Phe". Lineage: Eukaryota; Viridiplantae; Streptophyta; Jungermanniopsida; Fossombroniales; Makinoaceae. The record is from RNAcentral.
GCCGGGAUAGCUCAGUUGGUAGAGCAGAGGACCCUGAAACC